AUACGGAGGGUGCAAGCGUUAUCCGGAAUCAUUGGGUUUAAAGGGUCCGUAGGCGGGUUUGUAAGUCAGUGGUGAAAGUUUUCGGCUCAACCGGAAAAUUGCCAUUGAUACUGCAAGUCUUGAAUCAUUAUGAAGUGGUUAGAAUGUGUAGUGUAGCGGUGAAAUGCAUAGAUAUUACACAGAAUACCGAUUGCGAAGGCAGAUCACUAAUAAUGUAUUGACGCUAAGGGACGAAAGCGUGGGUAGCGAACAGGAUUAGAAACCCCAGUAGUCC
This 274-nucleotide ribosomal RNA is filed under the name uncultured bacterium. RNAcentral's name for it is "partial 16S ribosomal RNA". It matches the Rfam family "Bacterial small subunit ribosomal RNA", at positions 523 to 796 of the family's 1533-position model. The record is from RNAcentral.